Long non-coding RNA from Triplophysa rosa, 571 nucleotides. RefSeq lists it as uncharacterized. NCBI's taxonomy places the organism in Eukaryota, Metazoa, Chordata, Actinopteri, Cypriniformes, Nemacheilidae. The transcript is spliced from 3 exons. The record is from RefSeq and is a predicted model, not a curated record.
UCGAGCUAUUGGAGCAGCAGUACGGGUUUCGUUGCGCGGACCGGAUUGCACCUGCUGCCGCGCAGUAGCAUACGCACUUCUUAUUGAUGCAUGCGAAGAUUUCAAGAGAACGCACCUAAAUACCUGUGUGCGUGAAGUUAUUUACGGUUUAUUUAUGUUAUGAAUAUCACACUGUAAUCGCAAACUCAUCGCGCGCAUGAGAGCUGCUGAAAUGCGCUCUAAAGGAUCGAGACGAGCAACAGCUCUUAAUACCAUCGUCAUCAUCAUCAUUACGCAAGAUAAAGCGGAACAGGCGCUUCGACGAUGAAGCAAAACUUCGCAGAACACAAGAGCCGGUUGGAUGUCUCUGAGAAACACACAGGAGUGAAGAUUACUGAGAAAUCGAAAAUGGUUUUGAAUCACCAGCUACGCAUAUUUCCAUAGGAGAUCCCGAGAGAUAAAAGACUGUCAGAGAAUGCGGGUGAGCUAAACAGCAGAAGGAAGUGGCCGAUUUUGGCAGAGAGAGCUGCUGGAGGAUUGUGGGUAGUGAUCGACAAAUUAGAGUGAAAGUGAAGGAUCAUGUGACUCACGC